UGCCCAAAGCCGAGCUCGCUACUCGGCGGAGAUCGGAGUCGUUCCCACUCUGUUUCGACCCCCGAACCGAAGGGGAAGGCGUUGAUUCCAAAACUCCGACUCCGAGCUCGUCCGGCCGCCGCGUUCGCUGCGAAGAUGAUCGUGUGCGUCGCCGUCGUGGGCCACCAGAACAACCCGCUGUACCUGCAGAGCUUCACGGAAGCCGACGAUGCGCUCAAGCUUCACCACAUCGUCCACUUGCUCCCUCGACGUCAUCGACGAGCGAAUAAAUAAUCCUAAGAAAAGUGGACCUACUUUAAAUGAGGCAUUUCUUUGGUUCUUCUGUAUCCAACAGAGAAUUACAAAGUGUAAG
This is a non-coding RNA of Phoenix dactylifera (date palm), 352 nucleotides long. The record is from RefSeq and is a predicted model, not a curated record. NCBI's taxonomy places the organism in Eukaryota, Viridiplantae, Streptophyta, Magnoliopsida, Arecales, Arecaceae.